GAUGAAGAACAUAGCGAAAUGCGAUAAGUAGUGUGAAUUGCAGAAUUCAGUGAAUCAUCGAAUCUUUGAACGCACAUUGCGCCCUUUGGUAUUCCUUAGGGCAUGCCUGUUCGAGCGUCAUCUAAACCUUCAAGCUCAGCUUGGUGAUGGGCGACUGUCCCCCCCCCUCGCGGGGGGGACUCGCCUCAAAAACAUUGGCGGCCGGUACAUUGGCUUCGAGCGCAGCAGAAACGCGGUCUCGAGCCCGGUGGAUCGGCUCCCAUAAGCCUAUUCUUUUAUUUUGACCUCGGAUCAGGUAGGGAUACCCGCUGAACUUAAGCAUAUCAAUAAGCGGAGGA
RNAcentral lists this unclassified non-coding RNA (338 nucleotides) under soil metagenome. Its description in RNAcentral is "partial contains 5.8S ribosomal RNA, internal transcribed spacer 2, and large subunit ribosomal RNA". The stretch from base 1 to 120 matches the Rfam family "5.8S ribosomal RNA", at positions 35 to 154 of the family's 154-position model. The record is from RNAcentral.